This 206-nucleotide unclassified non-coding RNA is filed under the name plant metagenome. RNAcentral's name for it is "partial contains small subunit ribosomal RNA and internal transcribed spacer 1". The record is from RNAcentral.
AAUGUCGUAACAAGGUCUCCGUAGGUGAACCUGCGGAGGGCAUCAUUACAAGGUGACCCCGGGUCUAACCACCGGGAUGUUCAUAACCCUUUGUUGUCCGACUCUGUUGCCUCCGGGGGUCGACCCUGCCUUUCGGGCGGGGGCCUCCGGGUGGACACUUCAAAUCUCUUGCGUAACUUUGCGUCGAGUAACUUAUAUAAUUAAAG